RNAcentral lists this ribosomal RNA (279 nucleotides) under uncultured bacterium. RNAcentral describes it as "partial 16S ribosomal RNA". It matches the Rfam family "Bacterial small subunit ribosomal RNA", at positions 506 to 784 of the family's 1533-position model. The record is from RNAcentral.
UGCCAGCCGCCGCGGUAAUACGGAGGGUACGAGCGUUGUUCGGAAUUACUGGGUUUAAAGGGUACGUAGGCGGCGAAUUAAGUCAGUGGUGAAAUCUCGGGGCUCAACCCCGAAACUGCCAUUGAUACUGAUAAACUUGAGUUCAGUUGGAGUAGGCGGAAUGUGUAGUGUAGCGGUGAAAUGCUUAGAUAUUACACAGAACACCGAUAGCGAAGGCAGCUUACUAAACUGAUACUGACGCUGAGGCACGAAAGCGUGGGGAGCGAACAGGAUUAGAUA